Molecule: long non-coding RNA, 409 nt
Filed under: Homo sapiens (human)
Lineage: Eukaryota; Metazoa; Chordata; Mammalia; Primates; Hominidae
Description: non-protein coding lnc-BAHD1-3:1
Source: RNAcentral
CUCCAGACCCCGGGCUGCCAGGAUUAUGCAGUCCACUUGGUCUACCUUAAUUUAACCUGUGGCCAAACUCAGAGAUGGUACCAGCCAGGGGCAAGCAUGACCAGAGCCAGGGACCCUGUGGCUCUGAUCCCCCAUUUAUCCACCCCAUGUGCCUCAGGACUAGAGUGAGCAAUCAUACCUUAUAAAUGACUUUUGUGCCUUUCUGCUCCAGUCUCAAAAUUUCCUACACCUGCCAGUUCUUUACAUUUUUCCAAGGAAAGGAAAACGGAAGCAGGGUUCUUGCCUGGUAGCUCCAGGACCCAGCUCUGCAGGCACCCAAAGACCCUCUGUGCCCAGCCUCUUCCUUGAGUUCUCGGAACCUCCUCCCUAAUUCUCCCUUCCUUCCCCACAAGGCCUUUGAGGUUGUGAC